Homo sapiens (human) is the source of this 1763-nucleotide long non-coding RNA. Ensembl annotates it as PLS3 antisense RNA 1. Its record names the gene PLS3-AS1. NCBI's taxonomy places the organism in Eukaryota, Metazoa, Chordata, Mammalia, Primates, Hominidae. The record is from Ensembl.
ACUGGUAUGUGUGGGGCUCCAGCCACUUAGUUGGAAUUCACCAUGAACUGCAUCUCGAGGAUCAAGUUUAGGCUCCCCAGUCCAUUGUGACAUCCAGCAAAGUGGAGCCGGGCGCCCCCAGCAUCCCGUCUGUCUGACGCUAAAUGGCGAGGCUCUCCAACCCACUUAGCUCCAAGCUCAACCUUCUGCAAAAGUUCAACCUUCUGCACCACUGGGGAUAUCGUGCAGCUCAGAGAUGGGGUUUCGUCAUGUUGCCCAGGCUGAUGUAGAACUCCUGGCCUCAAGCAAUCCACCUGCUUUGGCCUCCCAAAGUGCUGGGAUUACAGACGUGAGCCACCAUGCCCUGCUGGUUUAACGUUAUAUUGAAGUUUCUCCAACUGAAGGGCAUGUACUGUUGAGCAUGCUCAGAAGCCAAGGUUCAAGCCAUUCUUCAACUAUAGAUGCUUCAACUCAUCUCUCUUUCUUCGGAAUAUUCUCUCCCUUAUCAAUUUCACCAAUUAUACCAAGUAACCCCCUGCUUAUUCCCCUAGAACAGACAGAGCUGAUACUAGUCUGUGCCUUAUGUGAUUUAGAAAAAGACUCUUGGAAUGCAGCCCCAGACCAUGAUGUACAGAGCAUGAGUUGGGUAUUGCCCCAUUUUAUUCUCUAAUUCAGGUGCCCUUGUGCAGUGAAUAACAUGGCAGCUGUGAGACUAGUGAUGCUAAACAGGUUUAAUUUUUGGUGCAAAUUCUAAUGAAUUAAUAAUAGCUGUUUUAAAAAAACACACAGUGCUAAGAAAGACUCUGAGGCUGUUUUCAGGCUCAGUAGAUAAAUUGUACUGUAAGCUGGGAUGAUUUGCCUUGGUUGGGAGAAUGGCACCAGGUGUGACAAGAAUUUGCUAUCUAAGGACUAGAGGCAUCUCACCCGUCCUGAAGAGGUAGGAAGCCUGGGGUAGGCAGAUGUUGAGGUAGAAUGUGGGCCCAGACAAGUUUUAUAAUUUAUAGAACACAACUUUAAAAUGCCCUUGUAAUACAAGGCAACAAUCCUACUUUUCCAGGUCUCUAACAAAAAGCAUCUAGCUGAGCUAGAGUGUUUUCAUGAGGCAUCUGCUACACAAAACAAUGUCUUGCUUAAUAAAUAACACCCGUUUCUACUUGGUGUCAUUUUACUGUUUAAUCAAAACUUAUUUUCACCACUCUUAACCACAAUCUAAAGAAGGAUGCUUCAAUCUCUUCCUGAUUUAGCCUUAAACUUGGUCAUGUGUACCAUUCGACUAGGAUUGCCAGAGUCAGCCACCCUCCCAACAAAGGAUGCUCAGUUAAAUAUUGCACAGAACACACUUAUACUAAAAAUUGUUUGUUGUUUAUCUGAAAUUCAAAUUUAAUGGGGCAUAAUGUAUUUUACUUGGCAAUCCUACCUGUGAUGGACAUAUAUAUUUCCCCCCAGCUUUAUUAAGGUAUAAUUGACAAAUAAAAGUGUAAAUAUUUAUGAUAUAAAUGGAAAUAUAAACAGAUGCUCCUCGACUUUUGAUGGGGUUACAUCCUGAUAAACCUGUCAUAAGUUAAAAAUAUUGUGAGUUGAAAAUUCAUGUAAUACACCUAACUUACUGAAUAUCCUAGCUUGGCCUAGCCAACCUUAAAUGUGCCCAGAACACUUACAUCAGCAUAUUUGGGCUGAUGUAACACAAACCCUAUUUUAUCAUAAACUGUUUAAUAUCUCAUGUAAUUUAUUGAAUACUGUAUUGAAAAUGAAAGAUAAAAUGGUUGUAUGGGUACUCAAAGUAC